Molecule: ribosomal RNA, 301 nt
Filed under: uncultured bacterium
Lineage: Bacteria
Description: partial 16S ribosomal RNA
Rfam family: Bacterial small subunit ribosomal RNA
Source: RNAcentral
CAGUCGCCGCGGUAAUACGGAGGGUGCAAGCGUUAAUCGGAAUUACUGGGCGUAAAGCGCACGCAGGCGGUCUGACAAGUCAGAUGUGAAAUCCCCGGGCUCAACCUGGGAACUGCAUUUGUGACUGUAUAGCUAGAGUACGGCAGAGGGGGAUGGAAUUCCGCGUGUAGCAGUGAAAUGCGUAGAUAUGCGGAGGAACACCGAUGGCGAAGGCAAUCCCCUGGGCCUGUACUGACGCUCAUGCACGAAAGCGUGGGGAGCAAACAGGAUUAGAUACCCCCGUAGUCCCUGUCUCUUAUAC